RNAcentral lists this ribosomal RNA (254 nucleotides) under uncultured bacterium. RNAcentral's name for it is "partial 16S ribosomal RNA". It matches the Rfam family "Bacterial small subunit ribosomal RNA", at positions 524 to 777 of the family's 1533-position model. The record is from RNAcentral.
UACGGGGGGGGCAAGCGUUGUUCGGAAUUACUGGGCGUAAAGGGCUCGUAGGCGGCCAACUAAGUCCGACGUGAAAUCCCCAGGCUUAACCUGGGAACUGCGUCGGAUACUGGAUGGCUUGGAUUCGGGAGAGGGAUGCAGAAUUCCAGGUGUAGCGGUGAAAUGCGUAGAUAUCUGGAGGAAUACCGGUGGCGAAGGCGGCAUCCUGGACCGACAUUGACGCUGAUGAGCGAAAGCUAGGGGAGCAAACGGGG